Molecule: ribosomal RNA, 348 nt
Filed under: uncultured Leptosphaeria
Lineage: Eukaryota; Fungi; Ascomycota; Dothideomycetes; Pleosporales; Leptosphaeriaceae
Description: SSU rRNA
Rfam family: Eukaryotic small subunit ribosomal RNA
Source: RNAcentral
GUAGUCAUAUGCUUGUCUCAAAGAUUAAGCCAUGCAUGUCUAAGUAUAAGCAAUUAUACCGUGAAACUGCGAAUGGCUCAUUAAAUCAGUUAUCGUUUAUUUGAUAGUACCUUACUACUUGGAUAACCGUGGUAAUUCUAGAGCUAAUACAUGCUGAAAACCCCAACUUCGGGAGGGGUGUAUUUAUUAGAUAAAAAACCAACGCCCUUCGGGGCUUCUUGGUGAUUCAUGAUAACUUUACGGAUCGCAUGGCCUUGCGCUGGCGACGGUUCAUUCAAAUUUCUGCCCUAUCAACUUUCGAUGGUAAGGUAUUGGCUUACCAUGGUUUCAACGGGUAACGGGGAAUGG